Long non-coding RNA from Phyllostomus discolor (pale spear-nosed bat), 7700 nucleotides. RefSeq lists it as uncharacterized. The record is from RefSeq and is a predicted model, not a curated record. NCBI's taxonomy places the organism in Eukaryota, Metazoa, Chordata, Mammalia, Chiroptera, Phyllostomidae. The transcript is spliced from 3 exons.
AAAUUAUAAUUAUUAAUUAUUUUUAGAAUCACUGUGAAUUUAUGCCUUCAGAAAGUUGGCCUCAUUCUCUGAGGCUGAAAUAAUUUUGAUCAUAGUUGCUUCUAGCCUAAAAUUACUCCUAGUCAGCUUAAGAUGCCUCUUGGGGGCAAAAAAAAAAAAAAGAAAAAAUACAGUAAACAUCUGAUAAUAGAUAUAAACAAUUAGCCCACUGAAAUACUAACCUAAGUUAGACUAAGAUGGAACUGCCUAACUAUAUAUGUAUAAAUACAAACUUUACUUAUGACUAUUGUUAUUAUGAUGUGGUCAUAAUUGAUAUUAAAAAUAAAGUGAUAGAAAGUAUAUCAGGUAUAAACGAUGAAGAUCAGAGAACUUUUAAUAAAAAAAUUAGAAUUAGAUGAAUGGUUCAAUGGAUGGAAGUUAUUUCACCACCUGUUCCGAGGGGAAAUUUUAUCUGCAAAUGUCUUACAACCCAGUAGAGGAGGCAUUCUUAAAUACGUUGGAGAGCGGUGCCAUCGCUCUGAUUGGCAGGCAGAGUCUUUCACGCUAGCUGUGACUGGACAGACACACAGUAGUCUCCGGGCCUUCUGGGCCCCAGGGGUGCAGGCCCCUUUCAGGUCCUCAAAAUUCACUUUCUGGCAGUCAGAACCCUAAGGGCUCCCACACAGUCCUGUUUUUUUAUUGGCUGAAUUCUAAUAUAAAAACGAUGUUAAAUUUUAGUUGCUGAGCCGGACCUUGUAGACUAGAGAUAGUGGCUUCCAAUAUUUAAGAUUUAGUUUCUAAGUUCUCAACCCAUGCAUACUCAAAAUACAUUCUAUAAAAUGCACCUGAAACUGUGAGUGAACUCUGUCCACAUGGGAGAUGUACACGGAGAAAGAGAUUGUUUAUAAAAAUUUAUAUGAUUUGGACUGAAGUAAAUUACAGAGGAUCAAAAAAUGAAAGUUAGUUGGCAACUUUAAAAUGAAUAAUUUUGGUUAAUAAAUAUAAUUCCAAAACAGAAAUUUCAUGUGUACACCUUAAAAGGCAUAAACCUUGCCUCGUAUCACAUAUCCAUUAAAGUGACCAUGAUAUGGCAUCUUUAAUUUGGAAGGUAAUUUCAGAUUCUUAGCCAAAAAGAGUCUCUCUUGUGCUUUACUUUUCUGGGCUGUACAUAUAUCAGAGAUAUGUGAUCACUGAAACUCUAAAGGAUAUUUGUUUCUCUUAAUAGCAUAACAGAAAAUUAAUGGCGUGGGGGAGGGUGAAGUGACAACUUAACUUGAUGCUUGAUAGCUGUUUACUUAUAAAUGUGCGCCCAGAUUUCAGUGUCCUGGAAAAGAGAGGGAAAAUAAAGAAACCAAAGCAUUCAUAUGGCUUUUAGGGAACUUAAGACACAUGGAAGAAAGUGCUUACUUAGAAGGCUAUUGAAAUAUUUACAAAACAAAUCAUUUACAUUUAACGUUUGUAUAUGUAAAACCUGGAGCGCCCACAAAAAGACGGAAUCAACUUUAGCUAUAAGAAAUAUUUUGGCAUCAAAAUGGUUAAUAGUAUUAUAGCUUCAAAAGAGCCCAUUGGCUCACCCUCAAGGAUGCCCGGCAGUUGUUGUUAAAGUCAUCAGAUGAAGCUAGCCUUCUCAGCUAGCCUUUAGAUUUGUCUGCUAACAGUAAAAAUACUAUAAUAAAUCGGUAACAUAUGUUGCCAGACAAGGAAAAGUGAUACAAAUAAAGAGACUAAGAGACCCAAACCAAGUACAAUGUGAAAAGAAUUUAACUUUCAAUCUAUUCGUUGGCUAAUUACCAUUUGAAAAGUAAUUUGAAAGUGUUACUGUUAUUUGCUUAUGUUCUUCCUCAUCUUUCUUUUUUUUUUCCUCUUCAGAUUGCAUUCUUACCCAAAUACUCUUCCGAGAUUGACUGUUUUGCGGCUUUGGGGUUUCUUCUGCAGCCACCAGCACCUAAGACACUCAGGGACUCUUUCGGAGAGCAAGGUGUAAGUGGAGUAAAUAAAAUCAUGUUUUACUGUUGCUUUAUCAACCCUCCUAGGUAGUUUCCCUGCCAGCCAACCUGCACUGUUAAGACCCAUAAAAUUAUGCAAUAGUGACUUCUUUGGAGGUUCUCUAAUCAGAUAAUGGCCGGUGUUAGGAGGAAAGGGCCCAAGGCAAUGGUGCUGGCACUUAACACGGGUUGGUCAUUACUUGUCUGGUAGAGACCAAUAAACAGCUGAUUACUAUCCUAUAAGGAGCCAAUAUUUUACAUUUAUCCUAGUUAUUUUUUUCUUGUCUCUUCAACUUCUUAUAACAGCAAGUAUUUGUCAAGAAGAUCUAUGAGGAAUAACCUCACAGGCCCUUUAAAAAUAAGAAUCUUCCUAGCAUGAAAUGAUGCCUUUUGUGAAAUGAUCCUUCAGGGGGUGGAGAGCUUCAUAUGGAUCGAAAUCCCGGGUUUCUCAUCAUGUAAGUCUAUUUUUGGUUAUACGUUUUCUUUCUUUCUUUAUUUCUUGUUUAUUCUAUAAAUAACCUAGACUCAUGGAAUAUACACUUCAUCUUUUAAAUUCACAAACUGAGUUCAGUUUUUCAUUCACCAAGAACAAACUCAAAAAUCUAAAACUUGAUAUUUUGAGGUUUGUAUUUCCAAAUAUUAAAAAUCCCUUCCUUCCCUGAUGGCCCCACCCUGGUUCUUAAGUGGCCUGUUUCAGACAAAAGAAAAUAACAUCCCCCUUUUGAAGUAGCAAAUGUUAGAUUCUCCCAAGGCCAACUGGGGACUCACUGGAAGUUUUGCCAUUAGAUUCAUACAAAUUGAAUUAUUUUCAUUCUCCCAAACAUCGUUCUUCGAACUCCAUAAAUGUAACAAUGCUGGUCUAGAGUUUCAUGCAUCUUGUUUACAAAUAAAGGUAUUGUGACAGAAGCCAAGCCCUGUGCACUUCGGAAAAACAAAGCCCUGGAACAAUCUCAUAUUAAAACAUUACCAAAGGAUUGCAAAGGGAAAUUUAAGGGGAGAAAACUUGAUUAUAUAAUGCAAUCCAGCAGUAAUCAAUUUUACCUUCAAUAUCUUGCUUUUGUUUUCAAAAUGCUAAAUAAACAAUACAUAAUGCAUCCCUCAUCAGCCAAACCAUGGAGGCUCUGUGCUCAAAUAACAGGAAACAUAUUCAAUUUUCCUAACAGAAGACAGUUCAUUAAGCUGUGCCACAUCAAAUAAAACUUUAAUUUCUCUAGCAUCAGAGUCGCAAUGAAAGCAAUUGAAGAAGAUGAGCCAUAUGGUACUUCUAUCAGCAAACACAUAUUGCUCAUUCCCCCAAAGUUUUCUAAUUCUGCUCCCCAGACCUGUGUAAUAUAGAUAAUGUGCUCCGAGAGCAGCAACCAUGAGCUAUCUAGUGUACACUUCUAAUACUGUAUUUAAUGGGAAAUAAUGAAUCAUAAAAGCCUAGAGAAGACGGCUUUUGCUAACCUAAAUCUCAGCUGUAAUUUCAUUGUUCUGUGCCUAAGAUGCUGUUUGCCCUUUUCAAACAACAGCAGUUGAACAUAAUUAUGCUGCUUCAAACCUGGGCUUGAAAAAGCAUCCCUAAUAUAACCAAGUUUCUAUUAACUCCUGAAAUUCUGAAUUUAAUGACGCGCCAAUGCAGACACUGGGAUAACCGAGCAUGUGUCAUUUUAAAACCCAAAUAAGCAUUUUCUCCUUCUUCUCUUUGGCCGGGCUGCUCCAUGCAUUUAUGUUCCCUCCUCCAACCCCUUCUGCACCCCACCCCGUCAUGCAACAGGAGUGGCAUUAAAAAUGAGGAGAUUUUCUUGUUAUUAGCAAAUUUGACAUUUGCCUGAUGAAAUGCACAUAAAAUGUGAAAGCUACACAGUAUUCAGAAGAAAUGUCUCCACUCCAAUCCAAGCUAGCAAGAUGAAAUAAUUUAGGUAAAGGAAAUGCAGAGAUCCCAUACAUCUCUACUGCAAAAUGCCUGGAUGGUAUGUAUUAUCAAUGAAAGAGCCAAAAAUUGCUGGGCUUUUACAGUGACGGUAUUUGACACAUGUGCUGUGUAUAGUGCUUCCCCUCUCGCCUUAACUGCUUUGAUUGUGAAUCUAAACAUAAUACAUAGGUUCGAAUGCAGCAAUUUUUGUGUCAUUGGUCCAGCCUGUUUCUGGCAAGAUCUUGGGGCUGGAGCUUAAUUCCCUUUCAGGAAUUAUUAAACAAUUUCAAAAGUGUUCCUCCCCCUGCCCACAGGUUGAUGAUUUUAGUUUUUCCAUUUUUAAAGCUCAUCAAAUCCAUAUUUUACCAACACAAUGCUAAUUUCAAGACACCAUCAAAAACACUACAGAUACAUAUUGAAAACAUUUUAAUGGUUUUGUUUGUGUUGGCAUCAUAUGAACCAAGGACAAUUAAAUUAAAAAGAGACUUUUAAAAGUUAGAGAUUGGCUUUUUAAAGCUUAUUAAAAUCAGCAUGUUACAUGUCUGUCUCUGAAUUAGCUCUCUACGCACUUGAUUGUAGCUCUCUGCACACCAUCAUUAAAACUAGUUGUUUGGGUGCUGUUCUCUGUGCUGGUUCAGAGCCUUUCUCAAAGCUAGUUCUUACCAGUUAUUAACUUGAAACCUCUUUUCAUUGAAAUGAAAAAAAAAAUCAUCCUAGCCCAUGAAAGAAACAGUCUCCAAAAUGUGAAAUAAGCACAGCGAGACAGCAACAUUAAACCAUGAAAAGACCAACAGGUAAAAUAACCCCAGUAACAUCUAAAACACACUCAGGGAAAAAAAAUCACAACAACAACACAGAAGCAGUCCAUUGAUUAUAUUUCAUGAAUGCCUUAAAACAAAUGUUUAAACAGUUUUCUGAAACAGCGCAGAAAACCGGGGCAUGCUCCACUGGGCUGCAGUGACAAUGGUCUAUUGCAAUGUAAAACACGCUGGAGGAUAAAAAGGUGCUUUUUGUUACCAUUUUAUCAAAGCUGUUCAUCUUCAAGCUGCAGGCAGCAUUUUGCUGGAAUUGCAGAUAUUUCUCUGUCCAGGCUCCUUUGUUUGUGCAUCUCAUUUGCAUAUAUUUAUCUCCAGCUGAGGGUGCUUUCUGCUCAUUAAGGCCUCCCUUCACAUUAUUUCAUAAGCCAGCUGCUAAGAGGGAUUUCACCUGUGGUGACUGAGAAAAGAGGGGUGAAAAACUAAAUUCUUCAUAAAAAAGGAAAUCUUCUGAGUCUCUUCCCCUAUAAAUGGGCACCAUUUGUGUUAAACAGCCUCUUGUCAUGAUAGAUGCCUCCAGAGGUCAGGGGUUAAAGUUGAUUUGAAGGUCAGCAGUAAAACAACAGACAAACCAGACGCCAAACUGGUUCCUUAGCUGUCGGUGGGAGCUGUGGUACAAACAGGUCUUGAACCUUUUUCAACCUCUAAUAAAACAGGGGAUGAAUCUGAAGUGGAUCAACCAGGCCCCUGAGGCAGCAGCACAGAAAAACACAAAUAAUAUCAAUAUCAGGCAGCCACAGGAAACAAUGGGGCAUUUCUCCGUGCUACAUGCAUGCUGCUAUUGUUUCAAGGGCUAGGGAAUUAAUUCCACUUAUUUAUUUAAGGCGUGUCAACUCACUGCCUAAACCUGUUUCAGUGUCAAGAUGAAUAAAACUUUUAUGGCUCAUAAAAUAGAGCCAUUCAUCUCAAUGUUCUUUGUGGUGCGUGUUUUUUUUUUUUUUCUGGCACAUUGAGCUAGGCCUCUGCUCCUAAAUGGUUACAUCUGAACCCACUGUGGCUACAAUCCACACCAUAUUAGAGAAAAAAAUUAUUUCACUGGCAAAUGGAUCGAAACAGAAAUGACAUAGGAAAGCAUUUUAGCUGUGAUGUAAUAGUCCCAAAAUUCCUCCUAAAUACUCCUCAUGCAGUUGCAUCUGUUUUGAGCAUGCAUUAUUUACAAAGCAGAAGUUUUGCUAUUUUAGAGAAAAGUUCAAAACUGAGAGCAAUAAAAAAUUAGUUUUCUAGAAUGUUAUCUAUAUCAUAUUGUGUUAGUAAUGCAACCUCAUUAGGAUAGCUCUUUCCCACCCAUCAUUUUUGCCCAAGGUUUUCCUGUUGUAUAGUCAGCUUGCACCCAUGUAAUAAUCAAUGUCUUCUUUAGCUCUACUGGUUUGAAUUUUAUGUUUAGUGUUAAACAUAGAUGGAAAAGAAAAUGCAUUUAAAUGUAUUUUGUAUUAUAAAGUUUUUCAAAGUUCAGUCACAGAAUUAAUUUUACUUUUGAUUCCCAACUAAUGAUUUUAAUAACAAUGUAAUAUUAAUAACAAGUAUUUAUAUUUUAUAUGAAGUGCCACACACAGUACUAAGCACUUUUCUCUUGCGAUUAUUAGUGAUACUUCAACCCAAGUCACACAAACCCAUGCAAAAUGGAAUGUAAUAAUAACAUUCUUCAUUAUUCAGGAUAUACCUUAGUUAAAACAAAAAGUUCCAAUCAAACAAAUAUCAUUAUAGCAGAUGAUUUAACAAGUAACUUCAUGGGCACAUGAUUGCCUUAUAUUGAGCUAAAAGAAACAAUUUGAUGAUAUUUCAGAAUCUCUGCAAUCACAGCUUAUAUAAUGUACAUCAUAGCUCUUUGCUCUAUCACAAUGUAAAUUGAUUUGUGGACAAUUCACUUACUAUGGUGUCUCAGUUGCUUUGCUUUUGAGCUCUACAAUGAAUAGUGUAGCUUCUGCUCAUGAUACUAGAUUAUUUCUAAUUUAGUCCAUUGGUAGGUCAGAGCUUUUCCCAUGAACUCAAGUAGAUUAUUUGAGAUCAGCCCAAACAGAAGUUGUGCUUCUGCAUGUUGCUCGAGCACACAGAUGCAGCCCUGAGAGGAGUUCGGUUUAUGGGUGCCAAGCACUGCUCAAGACUUAAUUGCUCUUCACGUUCCAUUUGAACUGCUGCAUGUACUGAUCUCUUUGCCUAGGGGUGGCCCAUUUACCAAGCAACCCUGUUUGAAAAUGGAAUUGCUUUGGAGUGGGCCACCAGGCCCUGAGAAAAAUACUUCAGCUCAAAAUUGAUUGGGAUUUAGUAAUCUGAGGCGGCAUGUUCUCAUUUAAGCGUGGAGCAGGAGAUUUUCUCUUCUGUAACCGAUUACUGUUUAAAAAAUGCAAGUAGUCUUGCUUCAUACAAGGAGCUCAACUUGAGGUUGGAGACAUUUUCCACCUUAUUAAAUGUUGUUUAUAUCCUCCUCUCUGUAAACCGUCUGCCUUCCCAAAGCAUUUUAUAGCUCCCUCUGUGUCUGACUUACCAAUUUUCUUCCGGACCUUCCACAUUAAACUUAACCCCACUCUCACCCCCAAACCUAGAACCUCCGAGCAACUAGACGAAAGUAAAAACACAGUUUGCUCUCUGCCAAGUCUGCACCCAUGUCUCUCAUUUUUCUUCUCCUCUAAUCUAAUCACUGAUUCUUAAGCUUGGCCAAAUAGUUAAAAAUGUUAAGUGCUAGCAAAGCCUUUUACCUCCCCCUCAUAUCUGUCUCUGUUUAUGGAACGGACCCGGUUUCCUCCUCUUCUCCUUCGGCCCGGAGUCUCCAGGUCAGAACACUGUAAAUACACACGGCCCUGGCAGAUCCAUAAAUCUGAGCAAAGGGCAGGCUUAUAUAUUCAGAUAAGCACGGUGGGGCAGGGGCCGGGAGGGACAGAGAACCAGCAGAAUCUGAUGCUCUGCAGCCUCGUUCAGGGAAGAGAACAAAAGAGGCCAAGAACCUUUAGUGGGGAGGGGGAAAAGAUUUUUGUCUUAAAACAUCCCUCCUAAUUUCUGAGGGAUGAGGAGGUUGGCACUGCUUCUUCCUUU